UAUGGCCACAUCACGUUGAAACACCGAUUCCCGUACGAUCACUGAAGUUAAGCAACGACAAGCCUGGUCAGUGCCUAGAUGGAUGACCACUUGGAAAUACC
Molecule: non-coding RNA, 101 nt
Organism: Acanthosepion pharaonis
Lineage: Eukaryota; Metazoa; Mollusca; Cephalopoda; Sepiida; Sepiidae
Source: the annotation of a GenBank genome assembly